This 633-nucleotide ribosomal RNA is filed under the name uncultured bacterium. RNAcentral's name for it is "bacterial SSU rRNA". It matches the Rfam family "Bacterial small subunit ribosomal RNA", at positions 9 to 636 of the family's 1533-position model. The record is from RNAcentral.
GAGUUUGAUCCUGGUUCAGGAUGAACGCUAGCGACUGGCUUAACACAUGCAAGUCGAGGGGUAACAGGGUAGCAAUACCGCUGACGACCGGCGCACGGGUGAGUAACGCGUAUGCAACCUGCCUAUAACUGGGGAAUAGCUCCCUGAAAGGGGAAUUAACACCGCAUAAUACUAUUGAUUCGCAUGGAUUGGUAGUUAAAUGUAGCGAUACAGGUUAUAGAUGGGCAUGCGUGACAUUAGCUAGUUGGUGAGGUAACGGCUCACCAAGGCUACGAUGUCUAGGGGUUCUGAGAGGAAGGUCCCCCACACUGGUACUGAGACACGGACCAGACUCCUACGGGAGGCAGCAGUGAGGAAUAUUGGUCAAUGGGCGCAAGCCUGAACCAGCCAUGUCGCGUGCAGGAAGACUGCCCUAUGGGUUGUAAACUGCUUUUAUAGUAGAAGAAACACAUCUACGUGUAGAUGUCUGCCAGUAUACUAUAAUAAGCAUCGGCUAACUCCGUGCCAGCAGCCGCGGUAAUACGGAGGAUGCAAGCGUUAUCCGGAUUUAUUGGGUUUAAAGGGCGCGUAGGCGGGACUGUAAGUCAGGGGUGAAAUACUGCAGCUUAACUGUAGCAUUGCCUUUGAAACUGU